RNAcentral lists this ribosomal RNA (509 nucleotides) under uncultured bacterium. RNAcentral describes it as "partial 16S ribosomal RNA". The stretch from base 20 to 329 matches the Rfam family "Bacterial small subunit ribosomal RNA", at positions 47 to 358 of the family's 1533-position model. The record is from RNAcentral.
GACGAACGCUGGCGGCGUGCUUAACACAUGCAAGUCGAACGGAAAGGCCCUGCUUUUGUGGGGUGCUCGAGUGGCGAACGGGUGAGUAACACGUGAGUAACCUGCCCUUGACUUUGGGAUAACUUCAGGAAACUGGGGCUAAUACCGGAUAGGAGCUCCUGCUGCAUGGUGGGGGUUGGAAAGUUUCGGCGGUUGGGGAUGGACUCGCGGCUUAUCAGCUUGUUGGUGGGGUAGUGGCUUACCAAGGCUUUGACGGGUAGCCGGCCUGAGAGGGUGACCGGCCACAGGGGUAGGGGCACGCGGCGCAGGCGCGGGCGGGAGGCGGGCGGGGGAAAAAUGGGACGAGGGGCGGGCGGCCGGGGCCGCGAGGCGGCGGGCGGGUUGACGGGCUGCGGGGUGUACGCCGCCUCCGGGGGCGACGGGGGGUGAGGGAAGGUAAGGAGUAAAGAGGGUACGGCUCGGGAGGGGACAGAAGGGGCGGUAAUACGGGGAAGAGCACACGUCGGACC